GACAGAGGGUGCAAACGUUGUUCGGAAUUACUGGGCGUAAAGCGCACGCAGGCGGUCUAUCAAGUCAGAGGUGAAAUCCCAAGGCUCAACCUUGGAACUGCCUUUGAAACUGAUAGACUUGAGACCGAGAGAGGGUAGUGGAAUUCCUAGUGUAGCAGUGAAAUGCGUAGAUAUUAGGAGGAACACCGGUGGCGAAGGCGGCUACCUGGCUCGGUACUGACGCUCAUGUGCGAAAGCGUGGGGAGCAAACAGG
Molecule: ribosomal RNA, 253 nt
Filed under: uncultured bacterium
Lineage: Bacteria
Description: partial 16S ribosomal RNA
Rfam family: Bacterial small subunit ribosomal RNA
Source: RNAcentral